UCGACAAUGCUCGGCUAAUUUACAACUCUGCCCCCCGCAAUCUAGAACAAUCUAGAAUCCACAACUCUGCGGGGGGCACGAUCAGUUGUGCACUUGACUUUGUAAAGAGAGGACGUUAUUUUUUUGUGAGCUCCUGUUUUUUCUGGAAUUUUCGAUGGCUUGGGGUCCCGGUUGGGUUUGAGCUUCGACGACAAUUAACACUUUUUUUUUGUAAUCCCGCUGCAUUUAUGUUGCUGUCAUUUUUUUGGGGAUUUGUUCAAUUAUGACGACACUACUAAUGUUUAUUGAGGCUUAUUGAGAGUUUGAGACUACGUGGGAUUUUUCUCAAAGGUGCUCAAAGUUUGUUAUCAUUAAUUUUGGGCAUUAUAUGCUGAUAUUACUGAUGAAUUGGCUAUUGAGAGUUUAUAUACUACGUUGGAUUUUACUUUGGUGCUCACUGGUGUUGGUUACAUGAAUUUGUUGAAACAUCCCACUUUACCAGCAGAAAAAGUGAUGAGUUCGCUUAUUGAGACUAUGUAGGAUUUUACUCCAAGGUGUUCAAAGUUUGCUGUGAUCUAUUCAAUUAUGAUGAUAUUACUGAUGAAUUAAGCUUAUUGAGAGUUUGAUACUACGUGUGAUUUUACUCAAAGCUGC
Long non-coding RNA from Aphidius gifuensis, 633 nucleotides. RefSeq lists it as uncharacterized. Lineage: Eukaryota; Metazoa; Arthropoda; Insecta; Hymenoptera; Braconidae. The record is from RefSeq and is a predicted model, not a curated record. The transcript is spliced from 4 exons.